GAUGAACGCUGGCGGCGUGCCUAAUACAUGCAAGUCGAGCGAACAGACGAGGAGCUUGCUCCUUUGACGUUAGCGGCGGACGGGUGAGUAACACGUGGGUAACCUACCUAUAAGACUGGGAUAACUUCGGGAAACCGGAGCUAAUACCGGAUAAUAUUUCGAACCGCAUGGUUCGAUAGUGAAAGAUGGUUUUGCUAUCACUUAUAGAUGGACCUGCGCCGUAUUAGCUAGUUGGUAAGGUAACGGCUUACCAAGGCAACGAUACGUAGCCGACCUGAGAGGGUGAUCGGCCACACUGGAACUGAGACACGGUCCAGACUCCUACGGGAGGCAGCAGUAGGGAAUCUUCCGCAAUGGGCGAAAGCCUGGCGGAGCAACGCCGCGUGAGUGAUGAAGGUCUUCGGAUCGUAAAACUCUGUUAUUAGGGAAGAACAAACGUGUAAGUAACUGUGCACGUCUUGACGGUACCUAAUCAGAAAGCCACGGCUAACUACGUG
Molecule: ribosomal RNA, 497 nt
Filed under: uncultured bacterium
Lineage: Bacteria
Description: partial 16S ribosomal RNA
Rfam family: Bacterial small subunit ribosomal RNA
Source: RNAcentral